Methylomicrobium album BG8 is the source of this 28-nucleotide non-coding RNA. Lineage: Bacteria; Pseudomonadati; Pseudomonadota; Gammaproteobacteria; Methylococcales; Methylococcaceae. The record is from Rfam.
GUUCACUGCCGUACAGGUAGCUUAGAAA